This 511-nucleotide ribosomal RNA is filed under the name uncultured Actinomycetes bacterium. RNAcentral describes it as "bacterial SSU rRNA". It matches the Rfam family "Bacterial small subunit ribosomal RNA", at positions 355 to 857 of the family's 1533-position model. Lineage: Bacteria; Bacillati; Actinomycetota; Actinomycetes. The record is from RNAcentral.
UGGGGAAUCUUGCGCAAUGCGCGACAGCGUGACGCAGCAACACCGCGUGGGGGAAGACGGCCUUCGGGUUGUAAACCCCUUUCAGGAGGGACGAAGGCCGGCCGGUGAAUAGCCGUGCCGGUUGACGGUACCUCCACAAGAAGCCCCGGCUAACUACGUGCCAGCAGCCGCGGUAAUACGUAGGGGGCAAGCGUUGUCCGGAAUCAUUGGGCGUAAAGCGCGCGUAGGCGGCCCGAUAAGUCCGCUGUAAAAGUCAACGGCUCAACUGUUGAAAGCCGGUGGAUACUGUCGGGCUAGAGUCCGGAAGAGGCAAGUGGAAUUCCUGGUGUAGCGGUGGAAUGCGCAGAUAUCAGGAGGAACACCUAUAGCGAAGGCAGCUUGCUGGGACGGUACUGACGCUAAGGCGCGAAAGCGUGGGGAGCGAACAGGAUUAGAUACCCUGGUAGUCCACGCCGUAAACGAUGAGAACUAGGUGUGGGAGGUGUCGACUCCUCCCGUGCCGUCGCUAACG